This 415-nucleotide ribosomal RNA is filed under the name uncultured prokaryote. RNAcentral describes it as "bacterial SSU rRNA". It matches the Rfam family "Bacterial small subunit ribosomal RNA", at positions 505 to 918 of the family's 1533-position model. The record is from RNAcentral.
GUGUCAGCCGCCGCGGUAAAACGUAGGAGGCUAGCGUUAUCCGGAUUUACUGGGCGUAAAGCGCGUGCAGGCGGUGUUCUAAGUUGGGCAUAAAAUCUCCCGGCUCAACUGGGAGGGGCUGUCCAAUACUGGGGCACUUGAGGGUAGGAGAGGGAAGUGGAAUUCCCGGUGUAGCGGUAAUAUGCGCAGAUAUCGGGAGGAACACCAGUGGCGAAGGCGGCUUCCUGGUCUACACCUGACGCUAAGACGCGAAAGCUAGGGGAGCGAACGGGAUUAGAUACCCCGGUAGUCCUAGCUGUAAACGAUGGAUACUAGGUGUUGGUGGUAUUGACCCCAUCAGCGCCGAAGCUAACGCGUUAAGUAUCCCGCCUGGGGACUACGACCGCAAGGUUAAAACUCAAAUGAAUUGACGGGG